UAUUGGUCAAUGGACGCGAGUCUGAACCAGCAAAGUAGCGUGAAGGAUGACUGCGCUAUGGGUUGUAAACUUCUUUUAUAUGGGAAUAAAGUUUUCCACGUGUGGAAUUUUGUAUGUACCAUAUGAAUAAGGAUCGGCUAACUCCGUGCCAGAAGCAGCGGUAAUACGGAGGAUCCGAGCGUUAUCCGGAUUUAUUGGGUUUAAAGGGAGCGUAGGUGGAUUGUUAAGUCAGUUGUGAAAGUUUGCGGCUCAACCGUAAAAUUGCAGUUGAAACUGGCAGUCUUGAGUACAGUAGAGGUGGGCGGAAUUUGUGGUGUAUCGGUGAAAUGCUUAGAUAUCACGAAGAACUCCGAUUGCGAAGGCAGCUCACUAGACUGCAACUGACACUGAUGCUCGAAAGUGUGGGUAUCAAACAG
This 416-nucleotide ribosomal RNA is filed under the name uncultured bacterium. RNAcentral's name for it is "bacterial SSU rRNA". It matches the Rfam family "Bacterial small subunit ribosomal RNA", at positions 362 to 775 of the family's 1533-position model. The record is from RNAcentral.